Long non-coding RNA from Nilaparvata lugens (brown planthopper), 1519 nucleotides. RefSeq lists it as uncharacterized. The transcript has 4 exons. The record is from RefSeq and is a predicted model, not a curated record. NCBI's taxonomy places the organism in Eukaryota, Metazoa, Arthropoda, Insecta, Hemiptera, Delphacidae.
UAAGAAGUUUAUUGAUUUUGUGAGGUUAUUCUCUGUUUUUAGGAACCGGCUUUUUUAAUGUGAGUAUUUAUUUUUUAGAUUACAAGGAUCCAUUAUCUCAAUAUGAUAUCUAUUAAUCUAAUCGACCUAUAUAAUUACCAAAAAUAAAAUAAUAAAUCAUGGCCUAGUAGCUAGAAGAUUCGAAUUUUACAUCCGUAUUGCAAUAGCCUACAGCUAAAUAAUGCCAUUUUUAUUUGCCAUGAAAAAUAAUUUGGAAAUAUUUAUUAUCUAUUAUUUUUUGACUCAUAUAACUUUUUGUUGAACUCCUAAAUAACCAUAAUAUUAUUAUAUUGUAUUUUGGGCAUUCAAAUAACAAUUAUAAUGGUAAUUUCUUCUUGUUUAUUGCCGACACUGUAACUAUAAAGUGGGUAGCCUACCACUCGUAAAGUUAGAAAUGAAUUUGAUUGAAAUAAAAAUAGCAUAUUCUCAGGAUAUCCUGAUUUAUACUAAACACUCCUUGUCUUCUGCUUUUAGUGAGAUUCAAAAGAGUAGGACCUGAAGUAGGUACGUAAAGCUAUUUUUAAGCGCAAAUGUAUGUUAAUCCUAAUUCGCUAUUUUUAGUCUAAUCACAUGGCGAGAUUGUUACCGUAUCACACGUUUUCCUCUGUUUUUACAUACACUAUUUGUCUCAUAUAAUAACUUUGCAUUAUUUUAUCUUCUGUAGAAAAUAUGUAGUAAGAGACACGGUCACGCAUGGAUUUGUGAUCCUGUGAUCCAUAUCUUUGUUCAAGUUGCAUUGACUCUUUAUCAGAACAUCAAACAGCUUCCUGGAUCUGAUAUUCUUCACUCGCAUAUUCUUCCCAAAUAUCUGUCACUUCAACUUUUUCGAUAAAUACGAAUGAAUGAUGAAUGAAAUUGUUAUGUCAGUUAUUUCAUCUUAAGGUGAGUUGAGAGUUCCUGCGAGUUAUUUGCUUUACCGCAGUUCCCUGAUCAUUUACACAUUGAGCCCAGAUUGGAAAAAUCAAAUUCUGAUAAACAUUUAUGGUAAAUAAACUCCACUUAUGGACUCAUUUAUUUUACUAAAUUAGGCUGACAACGGAUUUCCUUUAUCUGCAGACUUAGCUGAACCAGCUUCGGUAGCUAAAAGGAUUGGAGACCAAUUAGUUGAAAUGUAUCAUAGAAUACUAUCAGAGCAUUUGUGAGCAAUUAAAACCACACAUAAGCUGUUGGGCGAUUGGCUGCUAACAGGGCUAACUAACUCUUAUGUAUAACUAACUCUUUUCCUCUCUGACUCGAGAGUGAAAAAGUUGAGACAGAGCUUCAAUUUAUACAGAAUAGAUGUUGAGACAAAAUUAAAUCCUAGAUCUGUUCAUAUAGAAUUUCAUGUAUAAUAUACCCAAAUCACUCUUACAUCGAUCAGGCUUAAUUUUCAAUUAAAUGAUAUCGAGUUCGGAGAAUAAGGACUGUUCUGGAUUAAUUAUUAGCCCUAUGAAUGUAAUAGUUCAUUUGAAUAGUUUGAAUUUUAAUCAAAUUCCAUACA